RNAcentral lists this ribosomal RNA (492 nucleotides) under uncultured bacterium. RNAcentral describes it as "partial 16S ribosomal RNA". It matches the Rfam family "Bacterial small subunit ribosomal RNA", at positions 29 to 507 of the family's 1533-position model. The record is from RNAcentral.
AGUGAACGCUGGCGGUAGGCCUAACACAUGCAAGUCGAACGGCAGCACAGUAAGAGCUUGCUCUUACGGGUGGCGAGUGGCGGACGGGUGAGGAAUACAUCGGAAUCUACUUUUUCGUGGGGGAUAACGUAGGGAAACUUACGCUAAUACCGCAUACGACCUACGGGUGAAAGCAGGGGAUCUUCGGACCUUGCGCGAUUGAUUGAGCCGAUGUCGGAUUAGCUAGUUGGCGGGGUAAAGGCCCACCAAGGCGACGAUCCGUAGCUGGUCUGAGAGGAUGAUUAGCCACACUGGAACUGAGACACGGUACAGACUCCUACGGGAGGCAGCAGUGGGGAAUAUUGGACAAUGGGCGCGAGCCUGAUCCAGCCAUACCGCGUGGGUGAAGAAGGCCUUCGGGUUGUAAAGCCCUUUUGUUGGGAAAGAAAAGCAGCAGGUUAAUACCCCGCUGUUCUGACGGUACCCAAAGAAUAAGCACCGGCUAACUUCGUG